Long non-coding RNA from Gorilla gorilla gorilla (western lowland gorilla), 4780 nucleotides. RefSeq lists it as uncharacterized. Lineage: Eukaryota; Metazoa; Chordata; Mammalia; Primates; Hominidae. The record is from RefSeq and is a predicted model, not a curated record. The transcript has 4 exons.
AUGCGCAGGUGUGGGAGGUAGGGUGGUGCCCCGGCGGGGGGGGUGGGGGCCGUGUCUAGGUGCUAGCAGUGGGGUGCCCAGGUGUGGUCAAGGAGUGGUAUCCAGGUGCCCAGGUGCUGAGCCCAGGUGCUACUUGGCUGCCGGAGCCGAGAGAUGAGGGUGCUGUGUGAGGAGAGGCAAACUGAUUUCUGCAAGAGAAAGUCUUCUUCCGUGCAGAUGAAUGAGGCCCUCCUGGUGAGAUCCCAUCGCGUCCCCUGGCCUCCGGUGUCAUCUGCUCUGCGUGAUAUCUCCAGGGGGACCUCUCUGCUGGGCUCCAAGCCGCGUGGCUGUGGGUGACCAGCAUCAUGUCCCACCAGGACCCCUGCAGUCCCAGUGCAUCUGCCUGCUCAUCCAGGGACCUGUCCUCACUGCCUGCUGCCCGCACUGUGUGGAAGGACAGAGGCUAAACGAGGAAUCCUGGAGCUCUGGUCUCAUGGAAAUGGCAUCCUGCCCACCACCCACGCCUGCCCAGCCUUUCUUCACGCCUUAAAACGUGGAGAGUGGAAUCUUCUGGGCCCAGGUAUGCGCCUUUGCUCCGACAUUCCCUUCACUACUCACUGGCGAGCUCAGCUGGAAAUUCACUCCCAAUAGGAGUUCCACGGCAGACACGUCGUGAGUCAUGGCAGAACUUCGUCUUUUAAUUGCAGAAUGUUAAAGAAAGAGUCACUCAGGUAGCAAAGAUUGGCUUUUCAGGGGCGAUUUUAUGGAGCUAUUAACUCAGAGACACCAUUACUUAAAUGUAAUUUUUAUUAUUACAAUUAAAGACUGAUUUGAUUUUAUGAGAUCACGCAUUUUUAUUUUAUGGAAGUUUUAUAGUUAAAUUCAAUUUGAAAUAUUACUCUGUAUUUAAAAUAAAAUACAAGCAAGUACAGUAUUAAAAUUAUGCCAUACUUCUCUUGCAACUGAUGUUAAAACUCCCAUGCAAGUGAUUACUUUGGUAGAAACAAAUGUUUCCUAAUACAGCUAGGUAAUAACUCAAGGAAAGUAAACUUGGUUCAUUCUGUUUGUGAAGUUACCAGCAGUUGUUGGCUUAUUUAAGAUACCAAGUCUAAUUAAGUUUAUUGUCAACUUUUGUGUGUGUGAAACAUAAAAGUUGAUUUCCUCUCGGUUGAUUCUCAGAGGAAGGAAUUUCUUUGGGUCAAAGGGAGCUCUCAUUGCUACUUCAGUGUUUGCAGUGUGCAGAGUUGUAAAAGUUGAGACUAGCCACUCAAAAUGCGAGCUUCUGGUCCUGACAUUUCACGGGGAAAGGAAGGCUCAUGAACCGACUGAGACAUGGUUGAGCGGCUAAGAUUUCUGUAGCUAUGAUGCUGCCAUCCAGGCCGACUUCAGACUUGGGAAGUUUCCAUGUGAGUUUUUGGAAGGUUUUGGGGUUUUGUUUUUGAUGGAGGAAAAGAAUGUGAAAGAGUGUUUGCACCAAAUAGGUUAAGCUGUUAGUAAACAUGCACCCUUUAAAUUAACUGAUGAUAAGGACAAAGAAGGUGCUUUGUCGUCGUCAACUGGAUUUGUCUGAAGUCACAGAGACAAACAGGUGAAGGGGCAGUCCCUCUUCAACUCCCUAAUGGAAAGCAGAAAGUAAACCGUGAAACGAGGAAAGUUGAAUUGGAUUCUUCCUCCCAUUUAUUUUGGCAAAAGCUUGCUCUUCUUUCUCUCACUUGCCUUUCUUCCAGGGGGGAAGCCUGGUUUUUCCAAAAUCAAAUGAGCAUAGGAACAAAUAUUGCUCAGGAAUGUGCAUCCUUUCAAGACCCUUAGCACUUGUGAUGAGUAAGUCCCUGUGUGGUAAGUGACUGGAGACACAUCCAUGUGGCAACCCCAGCUUCUCGGCUGGGCUGGAGGAUAAUUAAUUUCACUCUCAGCACUGCUGAACAGAGAGCACUGUUCAGAGUCAGGGAUGAUGGGUGGGCCAGGCCCUUGCAAGAGGCUGUCCUUGAAUUGGGUGCUGGCUUCCUGUCAGCGCGUUGCUUUAACCAUUUGUGCCCUCACUUGUUAUAAAAAAAACGGAAAAGAAAGGAUAGUAGGUUUACAGGGGACUCUUUUGGUCCUGGGAAGAGAAUGCAAAGCCCAAAGGAAUCCUAAAGGAGGAGAAAUGGGCUAGAGACCCAAGGGAAAGGAGACGGCCCGUCCGAGGAGGAGGUGGGCCGGUUAUCUUUUCAGUAGUUUUAGUUUGCAAAAUGUGAGUUUUGCAUUUAGUUUGGGUUUAAGCUGGCAUGUGUCAGAGAAAUGCGAAAGAGCCAGUAUAGAAAUUUAAGAUUGGGUGCUGAGUUUCUUCUCCUUUUGGUAGAGGGUUUUUUGUUUUUUUUUUUUUGUUUUUUUGAAUAGGGACUUCAGUAACUAAGCAGAGAGUUAGGGUUGUAUUUGCUCUUCAAAUUUGGGGGUUUACCAUCAGAGGUUAAAUGUGAUAGUAAGGAGGUAUCCUGGGGUGCGGUUUUCAGAAAUGGUAUGACACUCCUCUUAGGAGUCCUCCAAAGCAGGUGCCUCUGCCAGGCGAGCCUUAGGUGGACGCUGGUCAGAGAACCACUGGGGUCUCAGCUGUGAAGGGAUUGAGUGGACUGGACAGGCUGGCCAUAGUGCUUAGGCCUCCAUUGCGAAGUUACUAGAAUUCUGCAGGAAUGGGUUGUUGUCUUAGUGCUCGUUAAACCAGUCAGGCAGUGGGUGACCAUCACCAGUGGACCUGGGUGUGGGGGCCUUGGCACUCGGGCCUGUGAUUUAUGUGCCCAGCUCACACAUGUCAGCUGCAACCCGUUCACUCGAGUGUUGUGGCCUGGAAAGCAAGGACUGUGUCUUGUUCUUUUGAGGAUUCUGGGACUUUUCUAACCUAAGAUUCCUCCGUCCUAGUGUGGGCAUAUUCAUGGAGGGGGGCGGUUAUGAGUACGAAACGAGGUAACAGUAGGUAAAACACCUAUUAACAGCAUCAAGCAUAGCGCUUUCUAGAGGCUCACUGAAGACGUCCAUGCCCUUUUCCCAUAUCGGAACUGCUCAGGCACUUUCCCAGGGGCUUUGCCAUUUUGCACUGUCCUCACCUAACUCCUGGACCUACAGUGGCAAACCCAAUUUGACUAGUUAUGAUUUGGCAUUGUUCUUCCUUCUUAACGCUCAUGACCCAGACUGAGAACUUGAAACCGGCCACUUCUCACUAAUGAUUCAGUGAUUGGCUCACAAUGACCUGUGAUGGCAAAGGGCACAGGUGAGGUCUCAGUGCCCAGAGCAAGCUCCUUUUUACUGUUUAACUGCUGUCUAAGUGACGACCCUUCCCUUGAAAGGCCUGGUAUCUGUUAAAGUGCACAGAUAAUGAGAAGGGGUGGUGGAGUUUCCCAGCCAGGCACGGAGCUCAGAGCCUCUUCUGGGCACACAGCGAGGCUCCGUUUCCCAGGGCCCCUUUCAGCUAGGUGAUGCCACCUGAGUCCUCCCCAGUGGGGUCUGAGAGGGAGUGAUGUGGGCUGCUGCUGGCCUGGCCAGGGACACUUCUCUUGGGCAAUCUUUUUUUUAAAAAAAUGGUAUAAAUGUAUGGUGUACAGGUGCAGUGUUGGUACAUGCAUAUAUUGCAUAGUGGUGAAGACUGGGCUGUUAGUGGAACCAUCAUCCAAAUAGUGUACAAAGAAGCCAUUAAGUCAUGUUUAAAUCAUCCACCUCCCUCCUGCCCCCGCCCUUCCGAGGCUCCAGUGUCUAUCACUGCACUCUCGCUACCACGUGGACACUUUCUCUAGUUCCCACAUCUGAGUGAGAACAUGUGGUACUUGGCCUCUGAGUUGUUUUCCUUAAGAUAAUGACCUCCAUAUAUAUACACCGCAUUGUCUAAUCCUCUCCUCUGUUGAUGGAUACUUAGGUUCACUCCACGUCUUUGCUAUUGUGAAUAAUGCUGCUGUAAACAUACGAGUGCAGGUUAUCUUUUUGAUAUGGUUUCUUUUCCUUUGGAUCGACGCUCAGUAGUGGGAUCACUGGAUUGAAUGGUGGUUCUACUUUUAGUUCUUGGAGAAAUCUCCGUGCUGUUUUCGUUUUGUUUUUUUGAGACAGAGUCUUGCCCUGUUGCCCAGGCUGGAGUGCAAUGGCAUGAUCUCGGCUCACUGCAACCUCCACCUCCCAGGGUCAAGCAAUUCUCAUGCCUCAGCCUCCCAAGUAGCUGGGAUUAUAGGCGUGUGCCACCACGCCUGGCUAAUUUUUGCAUUUUUAGUGGAAAUGGGAUUUCACCAUGUUGGCCAGGCUGGUCUCAAACUCCUGGGCUCAAGCGAUUCUCGCACCUCGGCCUCCAAAAUUUCUGGGAUCACAGGCAUGAGCCACUGCGCCCAGCCUCCAUACUGUUUUCCAUAGAGGCUGCACUAAUUUACAUCCUCACCAACAGUGUAUAAGUGUUCUCUUUUUUCCAUAUCCUUGCCAACAUUUGUUAUUUUUGUCUUUUAAGCAAUAGCCAUUCUGACUGGUAUAAGAUGGUAUCUAAUUGUGAUUUUAAUUUACAUUUCUCUGAUUAGUGAUGAGCAUUUUUUCAUAUGCUAGUUGGCCAUUUGUAUGACUUCUUUUGAAAAAUGUCUAUUUUUGUCCUUUGCUCACUUUUAUUUUAUUUUAUUUUAUUAUUAUUAUACUUUAAGUUUUAGGGUACAUGUGCACAAUGUGCAGGUUAGUUACAUAUGUAUACAUGUGCCAUGCUGGUGUGCUGCACCCAUUAACUCGUCAUUUAGCAUUAGGUAUAUCUCCUAAUGCUAUUCCUCCCCCCUCCCCCCCACCCCACAACAGUCCCCGGUGUGUGAUGUUC